CGAGGGGAGCAAGCGUUGUUCGGAAUUAUUGGGCGUAAAGGGCGCGUAGGCGGUUUGGCAAGUUUCGUGUGAAAACUACGGGCUCAACCCGAAGCCUGCACGGAAAACUACCGGGCUUGAGUAUGGGAGAGGUGAGUGGAAUUUCCGGUGUAGCGGUGAAAUGCGUAGAGAUCGGAAGGAACACCUGUGGCGAAAGCGGCUCACUGGACCAUAACUGACGCUGAGGCGCGAAAGCUAGGGGAGCAAACAGG
This 251-nucleotide ribosomal RNA is filed under the name uncultured bacterium. RNAcentral describes it as "partial 16S ribosomal RNA". It matches the Rfam family "Bacterial small subunit ribosomal RNA", at positions 526 to 776 of the family's 1533-position model. The record is from RNAcentral.